UCCGUAGGCGGGCUAAUAAGUCAGGGGUGAAAUCCCACAGCUUAACUGUGGAACUGCCUUUGAUACUGUUAGUCUUGAGUUAUAUGGAAGUAGAUAGAAUGUGUAGUGUAGCGGUGAAAUGCAUAGAUAUUACACAGAAUACCGAUUGCGAAGGCAGUCUACUACGUAUAUACUGACGCUAGUGGACGAAAGCGUGGGGAGCGAACAGGAUUAGAUACCCUGGUAGUC
This 228-nucleotide ribosomal RNA is filed under the name uncultured bacterium. RNAcentral's name for it is "partial 16S ribosomal RNA". It matches the Rfam family "Bacterial small subunit ribosomal RNA", at positions 568 to 795 of the family's 1533-position model. The record is from RNAcentral.